Molecule: long non-coding RNA, 1137 nt
Filed under: Gopherus agassizii (Agassiz's desert tortoise)
Lineage: Eukaryota; Metazoa; Chordata; Testudines; Testudinidae
Description: lncRNA (ENSGAGG00000021311.1)
Source: RNAcentral
CCGAGCUGUGCUGGUCUACCCCAGUUCGGGAGAUUCUCAUGGGCAGUAGAAAGCCUUCCACCAGGGCGACUUACUCAGCUAAGUGGAAGCGUUUCUCCUGCUGGUGUUCAGAGAAAGCUCUUCGCCCUAUGGAGACUCCCGUCACCACUAUUUUAGACUACAUCUGGUCCCUCAAGACCCAGGGUCUAGCGUUGUCGUCCCUCCGGGUCCACCUAGCGGCCAUCUCCGCGUUUCACCCGGGAAUGGACGGUUGUUCUGUCUUCUCCCACCCUAUGGUGGCGAGAUUCCUGAAGGGACUGGAGCGGCUCUAUCCACAAAUCCGCCCUCCAGCCCCUUCAUGGGACCUCAACCUGGUCCUAACUCGGCUCAUGGGCCCUCCAUUCGAGCCAUUAGCUACUUGCUCCCUGCUCUACCUCUCGUGGAAGACCGCCUUCCUAGUGGCCAUUACCUCAGCUAGACGAGUGUCCGAACUGAGGGCCCUCACAGUGGACCCGCCGUAUACCAUCUUCCAUAAAGACAAGGUACAGCUGAGGCCUCACCCUGCCUUUCUUCCCAAGGUGGUCUCAGCUUUCCAUGUUAAUCAGGAGAUUUUCCUCCCAGUCUUUUUCCCAAAGCCCCAUUCGUCCCGCAGAGAGCAACAGCUCCACUCGCUAGAUGUACGUCGGGCGCUAGCAUUUUAUGUGGACAGGACCAAACCCUUUCGCAAGUCCCCCCAGUUAUUUGUGGCGGUAGCAGACCGGGUUAAGGGGCUGACGAUUUCCUCCCAGAGGCUAUCUUCCUGGGAUACCUCCUGCAUCAGAACCUGCUAUGACUUGGCCCACGUUCCAGCGGGCCGUGUGACUGCUCACUCCACCAGAACACAAGCAUCAUCGCUGGCUUUCCUGGCCCGCGUACCGAUCCAAGAGAUUUGUAGGGCGGCAACCUGGUCAUCGGUCCACACAUUCGCUUCCCAUUACGCCCUGGUUCAGCAGUCCAGAGAUGAUGCGGCCUUUGGCUCUGCAGUACUCCAGGCCGCGACCUCUCACUCCGACCCCACCGCCUAGGUAAGGCUUGGGAAUCACCUACCUGGAAUGGAUAUGAGCAAUCACUCGAAGAAGAAAAGACGGUUACUCACCUUUGUAACUGUUGUUCUUCGAG